UACGUAGGGGGCAAGCGUUGUCCGGAUUUAUUGGGCGUAAAGAGCGUGUAGGCGGCCCGGUAAGUCCGCUGUGAAAGUCGGGGGGCUCAACCCUCGAAUGCCGGUGGAUACUGUCGGGCUAGAGUGCGGAAGAGGCGAGUGGAAUUCCUGGUGUAGCGGUGAAAUGCGCAGACUAUCAGGAGGAACACCGAUUGCGAAGGCAGCUCGCUGG
Molecule: ribosomal RNA, 211 nt
Filed under: uncultured bacterium
Lineage: Bacteria
Description: partial 16S ribosomal RNA
Rfam family: Bacterial small subunit ribosomal RNA
Source: RNAcentral